RNAcentral lists this ribosomal RNA (380 nucleotides) under uncultured bacterium. RNAcentral describes it as "bacterial SSU rRNA". It matches the Rfam family "Bacterial small subunit ribosomal RNA", at positions 29 to 400 of the family's 1533-position model. The record is from RNAcentral.
AACGAACGCUGGCGGCGCGCCUAAUACAUGCAAGUCGAGCGAGAAGGUGUAGCAAUACACUUGUAAAGCGGCGAACGGGUGAGGAAUACAUGGGUAACCUACCCUCGAGUGGGGAAUAACUAGCCGAAAGGUUAGCUAAUACCGCAUACGAUUCCAGCACUUCGGUGGUGGAAGGAAAGCACUACCGUGGGUAGUGCGCUCCUGGAUGGGCUCAUGUCCUAUCAGCUGUUGGUGAGGUAAUGGCUCACCAAGGCUUCGACGGGUAGCUGGUCUGAGAGGACGAUCAGCCACACUGGCACUGCGACACGGGCCAGACUCCUACGGGAGGCAGCAGUAAGGAAUAUUGCGCAAUGGGCGACAGCCUGACGCAGCGACGCCGC